AGCAGUGUGGCUUAGUGGUUAGAGCACGGGCUUGGGAGUCAGAAGGAUCUGGGUUCUAAUCCCAGCUCCACCA
RNAcentral lists this transfer RNA (73 nucleotides) under Ornithorhynchus anatinus (platypus). It matches the Rfam family "tRNA". Rfam says of the family: Transfer RNA (tRNA) molecules are approximately 80 nucleotides in length. Lineage: Eukaryota; Metazoa; Chordata; Mammalia; Monotremata; Ornithorhynchidae. The record is from Rfam by way of RNAcentral.